Long non-coding RNA from Macrobrachium nipponense, 378 nucleotides. RefSeq lists it as uncharacterized. Lineage: Eukaryota; Metazoa; Arthropoda; Malacostraca; Decapoda; Palaemonidae. The record is from RefSeq and is a predicted model, not a curated record. The transcript has 3 exons.
AGAGAGGUUGAGUAAGUCACUUCGGCGGUUGGCGAGCUGCAGUGAGCCAGUGUGGUAGAACCGCUCGUAGGAAGUGGUUCUGUCUCGAGAGGCUGAGGUGCGAUUUGUGUCAUAAUAUUCACUUUUUUUUUUUACCUUUUUGCCUUUUUUGUUUUCCCUCUCCACCUUUGGCUGCACUUCAUCCACCCACCCCCCCUUGCAUAUCCAGCUCGGGCAACACUCUAAUGAACCCGAGGAAAACAUUAAAACGAAGCUGAUUACGAAAAAAAAAAUUAAUAAAAAGUAACUCAAAUUACAAAUUACAGAGAAUUCAUCGCCCAUCCAUUCAAAUUCCAUAAAGGUUCUGCUCAUCGAUUUUGAAGCCAUAGCAUCAUGAAG